This 498-nucleotide ribosomal RNA is filed under the name uncultured bacterium. RNAcentral describes it as "partial 16S ribosomal RNA". It matches the Rfam family "Bacterial small subunit ribosomal RNA", at positions 30 to 523 of the family's 1533-position model. The record is from RNAcentral.
AUUGAACGCUGGCGGCAUGCCUUACACAUGCAAGUCGAACGGUAACAGGUCUUCGGAUGCUGACGAGUGGCGAACGGGUGAGUAAUACAUCGGAACGUGCCUAGUAGUGGGGGAUAACUACUCGAAAGAGUGGCUAGUACCGCAUGAGAUCUACGGAUGAAAGCAGGGGAUCGCAAGACCUUGUGCUACUAGAGCGGCCGAUGGCAGAUUAGGUAGUUGGUGGGAUAAAAGCUUACCAAGCCGACGAUCUGUAGCUGGUCUGAGAGGACGAUCAGCCACACUGGGACUAAGACACGGACCAGACUCCUACGGGAGGCAGCGGUGGGGAAUUUUGGACAAUGGGCGAAAGCCUGAUCCAGCAAUGCCGCGUGCAGGAUGAAGGCCUUCGGGUUGUAAACUGCUUUUGUACGGAACGAAAAGCCCCGGGUUAAUACCCUGGGGUCAUGACGGUACCGUAAGAAUAAGCACCGGCUAACUACGUGCCAGCCGCCGCAGUAA